Molecule: long non-coding RNA, 899 nt
Organism: Gorilla gorilla gorilla (western lowland gorilla)
Lineage: Eukaryota; Metazoa; Chordata; Mammalia; Primates; Hominidae
Exons: 4
Source: RefSeq, a predicted model, not a curated record
UGUUUUGGACAAAGGCUGAAUCUAAGGACUGUUUGGAAGAGAUCCACCCAAUAGAUUAGCUUAAAGAAGACUAUCUGGACAACUUGUUGGUGAGUAGCAUAUGAAGUCUGAGUAUAUGAGCUAAAAGUUUAUAAAGAUCAUGUAACCAACAAAUCACAAACUGGUAGACUACUGGCCAUGGAAUACCUGGAUGCUGUCAAUGUUAAAAAUGAGAAGAUUUUAUAUAAAAGGCAGCAUCCUGAUAAAUUAUCCUACAAAUAUGAAACUACUAACACUGGAUCCAUGUCUUUCCAAAAUUAUCAUCAUCAUCAUCGUCAUCAUCACAAAGACAUCACAGAGUGCUUUCUGUUUGUCAUCCACAGUGCCAAACCCUUUGCAGACAUUGUUUCUUUUAAUCUUUACAGCAAUCCUAUCAUGUAGGAUACCCUAUUAUCACCUGAUAAUUGAAGAUAAAUAAUUGUCCAAGAGUAUACAAGUAGCAGAUGAUAAAGCCACAUUUCAAACUAUAUGAUUCUGACCCAUCAACUGUCAGCCAACGGUCGUAACUGGCCUGUUUGGAUUUUGUGCCCUGCAGUUUGUCACAGUUUGCUCCAGUCUGUACGUUUUCAGCUUUUCCCAUUAUUGUUAUUGGUUGGAAAACAUGGCCCUUUGGACCAAUUGACUCACUUUUUGUGCAGAAAUGGAGCCCCUGAAAAAUGAAUUUUCAAAGGACAAUAUGGAAAAGAACUAUUUAAGAAAGUGAACACCAUGUAGGAUACAAAAGGAGCAACUAUAAGCUUCUUAAGAAAACCCUCAAAAUGAUAACCACUUCAGAAAAAGUGACAGGACAAUGCUGCACUCUCCUUAGGAAGAGAUCUCUCAGCUGCCAGAACAUAAUUUCCCUUCCAAGACUCCGCCAG